This is a long non-coding RNA of Hyla sarda, 404 nucleotides long. RefSeq lists it as uncharacterized. The transcript has 3 exons. NCBI's taxonomy places the organism in Eukaryota, Metazoa, Chordata, Amphibia, Anura, Hylidae. The record is from RefSeq and is a predicted model, not a curated record.
UUUGUUUCUCUUCUGAUGUCUACGUGGGAUAUUGCCCAUUGAUUCUCCGUGCUUCCUUCAUCAUAGAUGCCAUGGACAUUGACGUAUAUUCACACUAGAGUGCAGACUCACUGCAUGAAGAAAGCCUAAAGAGUCAGAUACACACAGACCAUUGUAUCUAUUCCGGAUUGAAGCAAACAGAUCACAUGCUGAUAUUUCCCUAUGGAUGAGGGUUCGAGAGCCACAUGGAGAUGCCGUAGGAGGGAGGGCAGGAAGCAUGGAAGAAGGUUCAAAAACACGGAGUCUCAGAAAUGGGAAGACCCCACAAAACACGGGGUCAUGGAGGAAGUAAAAAAUACCAUCAUGAAUAUUUCCUCCAAGGAAUUCUCCACUGGACAAUUAGAAUUAUUAAACAAAGGACUGCG